AUAAGUUGGUGGUCUUAAAGUAUAUUUUGUUGGAACUAUACAUAGAUCAGCAUUGCGCCAGUGCAAGGAUGACACACAAAUUCAUAAAGCAUCCCAUAACUUU
Molecule: small nuclear RNA, 103 nt
Organism: Cercocebus atys (sooty mangabey)
Lineage: Eukaryota; Metazoa; Chordata; Mammalia; Primates; Cercopithecidae
Source: Ensembl